AGGAUGAACGCUGGCGGUCUGCUUAACACAUGCAAGUCGAACGAGACCUUCGGGUCUAGUGGCGCACGGGUGCGUAACGCGUGGGAAUCUGCCCUUAGGUACGGAAUAACAGUGAGAAAUUACUGCUAAUACCGUAUGAUGUCUUCGGACCAAAGAUUUAUCGCCUAGGGAUGAGCCCGCGUUGGAUUAGCUAGUUGGUGGGGUAAAAGCCUACCAAGGCGACGAUCCAUAGCUGGUCUGAGAGGAUGAUCAGCCACACUGGGACUGAGACACGGCCCAGACUCCUACGGGAGGCAGCAGUGGGGAAUAUUGGACAAUGGGCGAAAGCCUGAUCCAGCAAUGCCGCGUGAGUGAAGAAGGCCUUCGGGUUGUAAAGCUCUUUUACCCGGGAAGAUAAUGACUGUACCGGGAGAAUAAGCCCCGGCUAACUCCGUGCCAGCAGCCGC
This 446-nucleotide ribosomal RNA is filed under the name uncultured bacterium. RNAcentral's name for it is "SSU rRNA". It matches the Rfam family "Bacterial small subunit ribosomal RNA", at positions 26 to 518 of the family's 1533-position model. The record is from RNAcentral.